UAGGGAAUCUUCGGCAAUGGGGGGAACCCUGACCGAGCAACGCCGCGUGAGUGAAGAAGGUUUUCGGAUCGUAAAGCUCUGUUGUUAAGGAAGAACGAGUGUGAGAAUGGAAAGUUCAUGCUGUGACGGUACUUAACCAGAAAGGGACGGCUAACUACGUGCCAGCAGCCGCGGUAAUACGUAGGUCCCGAGCGUUGUCCGGAUUUAUUGGGCGUAAAGCGAGCGCAGGCGGUUAGAAAAGUCUGAAGUGAAAGGCAGUGGCUCAACCAUUGUAGGCUUUGGAAACUGUUUAACUUGAGUGCAGAAGGGGAGAGUGGAAUUCCAUGUGUAGCGGUGAAAUGCGUCGAUAUAUGGAGGAACACCGGUGGCGAAAGCUGCUCUCUGGUCUGUAACUGACGCUGAGGCUCGAAAGCGUGGGGAGCGAACAGG
This 429-nucleotide ribosomal RNA is filed under the name Bacteroidota bacterium. RNAcentral describes it as "Bacteroidetes bacterium partial 16S ribosomal RNA". It matches the Rfam family "Bacterial small subunit ribosomal RNA", at positions 355 to 776 of the family's 1533-position model. The record is from RNAcentral. Lineage: Bacteria; Pseudomonadati; Bacteroidota.